This 891-nucleotide ribosomal RNA is filed under the name uncultured bacterium. Its description in RNAcentral is "bacterial SSU rRNA". It matches the Rfam family "Bacterial small subunit ribosomal RNA", at positions 8 to 916 of the family's 1533-position model. The record is from RNAcentral.
AGAGUUUGAUCCUGGCUCAGGACGAACGCUGGCGGCGUGCUUAACACAUGCAAGUCGAACGGUGAAGCCCUUCGGGGUGGAUUAGUGGCGAACGGGUGAGUAACACGUGAGCAACCUGCCUUUGGCUCUGGGAUAACUCCGGGAAACCGGGGCUAAUACUGGAUAUGACGCAUUCGGGUAUCCGGGUGUGUGGAAAGUUUUUCGGCCAGAGAUGGGCUCGCGGCCUAUCAGCUUGUUGGUGGGGUGAUGGCCUACCAAGGCGACGACGGGUAGCCGGCCUGAGAGGGCGACCGGCCACACUGGGACUGAGAUACGGCCCAGACUCCUACGGGAGGCAGCAGUGGGGAAUAUUGCGCAAUGGGCGGAAGCCUGACGCAGCGACGCCGCGUGGGGGAUGAAGGCCUUUGGGUUGUAAACCUCUUUCAGCAGGGAAGAAGCGUGAGUGACGGUACCUGCAGAAGAAGCACCGGUUAACUACGUGCCAGCAGUUGCGGUAAUACGUAGGGUGCAAGCGUUGUCCGGAAUUAUUGGGCGUAAAGAGCUCGUAGGCGGUUUGUCGCGUCUGCUGUGAAAACUCGGGGUUUAACUCCGGGCCUGCAGUGGGUACGGGCAGACUAGAGUGCGGUAGGGGAGACUGGAAUUCCUGGUGUAGCGGUGAAAUGCGCAGAUAUCGGGAGGAACACCAGUGGCGAAAGCGGCCUCCUGGGCCGUUCCUGACACUGAGGCGCGAAAGCGUGGGGAGCGAACAGGAUCAGAUACCCUGGUAGUCCACGCCCUAAACUGUGGAGACUAGGUACAGGGAGUAUCGACCCUUCCUGCGCCGCAGCUAACGCGUUAAGUCUCCCGCCUGGGGACUACGGUCGCAAGACUAAAACUUAAAGGAAUUGAUGG